Molecule: unclassified non-coding RNA, 221 nt
Filed under: soil metagenome
Description: partial contains 5.8S ribosomal RNA, internal transcribed spacer 2, and large subunit ribosomal RNA
Source: RNAcentral
AACCAUUCUCACCUGCGGCUAGACCUGCGGAAGGAUCAUUACAGAGUGUAAAAACUCCCAAAACCCAUGUGAACAUACCUUUUUGUUGCUUCGGCGGGAUCGCCCCGGGCGCCUUGUGUGCCCCGGAGUCAGGCGCCCGCCGGGGGACCCAAACUCUUGUUUUUAACGAGUAUCUUCUGAGUAACGUUUUUAAAUAAAUAAAAACUUUCAACAACGGAUCU